This 317-nucleotide unclassified non-coding RNA is filed under the name Hevea brasiliensis (rubber tree). The record is from RNAcentral. Lineage: Eukaryota; Viridiplantae; Streptophyta; Magnoliopsida; Malpighiales; Euphorbiaceae.
AAAAACACUACUCACGCGCACCGCACCCUCCCAAUACACACACUCUCCCCCUCUCUGUUUCUCGCUAAAGCCCACGAAUCCACACUCCCCUUUGCUCUCUCCGUGAUCAUUUUCCGGCGAGAUCCCUGGUACUCCGUCGGAAAAUCCUGAUCGGAUCCGCCAUCUUUUUUUUUUGUUACUGGAUUCAGUUUCUCGUACCGAAAGAUCCAAUUAGAUGGCUCCGGUUUCGGCUCUCGCAAAGUACAAGCUCGUUUUCUUAGGAGAUCAAUCUGUCGGCAAGACCAGUAUUAUCACGCGAUUCAUGUAUGAUAAAUUCG